This 67-nucleotide transfer RNA is filed under the name Parantica aglea (glassy tiger). RNAcentral describes it as "tRNA-Leu". Lineage: Eukaryota; Metazoa; Arthropoda; Insecta; Lepidoptera; Nymphalidae. The record is from RNAcentral.
UAAACUAUUUUGGCAAAAAAAUGUAAUGAUUUUAAAAGUCAUAAAUGUAUAGAUUAUUAUAUAGGUA